RNAcentral lists this ribosomal RNA (600 nucleotides) under Calothrix elenkinii HA17. RNAcentral describes it as "bacterial SSU rRNA". It matches the Rfam family "Bacterial small subunit ribosomal RNA", at positions 158 to 789 of the family's 1533-position model. Lineage: Bacteria; Bacillati; Cyanobacteriota; Cyanophyceae; Nostocales; Calotrichaceae. The record is from RNAcentral.
GACUGCUAAUACCGGAUGUGCCGGAAGGUGAAAGAUUUAUUCGCCUAGAGAUGAGCUCGCGUCUGAUUAGCUAGUAGGUGUGGUAAGAGCGCAUCUAGGCGACGAUCAGUAGCUGGUCUGAGAGGAUGAUCAGCCACACUGGGACUGAGACACGGCCCAGACUCCUACGGGAGGCAGCAGUGGGGAAUUUUCCGCAAUGGGCGAAAGCCUGACGGAGCAAUACCGCGUGAGGGAGGAAGGCUCUCGGGUCGUAAACCUCUUUUCUCAGGGAAUAAAAAAAUGACGGUACCUGAGGAAUAAGCAUCGGCUAACUCCGUGCCAGCAGCCGCGGUAAUACGGAGGAGGCAAGCGUUAUCCGGAAUGAUUGGGCGUAAAGCGUCCGCAGGUGGCUGUGUAAGUCUGCUGUUAAAGAAUGAGGCUCAACCUCAUCAGAGCAGUGGAAACUACACGGCUAGAGUGCGUUCGGGGCAGAGGGAAUUCCUGGUGUAGCGGUGAAAUGCGUAGAGAUCAGGAAGAACACCGGUGGCGAAAGCGCUCUGCUAGGUCGCAACUGACACUGAGGGACGAAAGCUAGGGGAGCGAAUGGGAUUAGAUACCCCA